AAGGAUCAUUACCGAGUCACGCACUCAAACAACCCUUCUGUGGACCUGAAUUAAACCGUUGCCUCGGCGGGCGGUCCCCUGCCAAACCCACGUGGUGGGCAGGGGACCAGACAGUCCGGCACGCCUAAGGCGUCCGGCGCCAGCCGCUGGCCCCAAACAAUUAAACUCUAGUAACCUAUACCUUCUGAGUUUUAAUAUUUAAAAAAUAAGUCAAAACUUUCAACAACGGAUCUCUUGGCUCUG
This 243-nucleotide unclassified non-coding RNA is filed under the name uncultured fungus. Its description in RNAcentral is "partial contains 18S rRNA, ITS1, 5.8S rRNA, ITS2 and 28S rRNA". Lineage: Eukaryota; Fungi. The record is from RNAcentral.